RNAcentral lists this ribosomal RNA (253 nucleotides) under uncultured bacterium. Its description in RNAcentral is "partial 16S ribosomal RNA". It matches the Rfam family "Bacterial small subunit ribosomal RNA", at positions 524 to 776 of the family's 1533-position model. The record is from RNAcentral.
UACGGGGGGGGCAAGCGUUGUUCGGAAUUACUGGGCGUAAAGCGCGUGUAGGCGGUCCGGUAAGUCCGCUGUGAAAGUCGGGGGCUCAACCCUCGAAUGCCGGUGGAUACUGUCGGGCUAGAGUGCGGAAGAGGCGAGUGGAAUUCCUGGUGUAGCGGUGAAAUGCGCAGAUAUCAGGAGGAACACCUAUUGCGAAGGCAGCUCGCUGGGACGUAACUGACGCUGAGACGCGAAAGCGUGGGGAGCAAACAGG